This 202-nucleotide long non-coding RNA is filed under the name Mytilus galloprovincialis (Mediterranean mussel). Lineage: Eukaryota; Metazoa; Mollusca; Bivalvia; Mytilida; Mytilidae. The record is from RNAcentral.
AUAGUAGAGGGGCAUUAUGUUUUCUGGUCUGUGCCUCCGUUCGUUCGUCUGUUCGUUCAUCCCGCUUCAGGUUAAAGUUUUUGGUCGAGGUAGUUUUUGAUGAAGUUGAAGUCCAAUCAAUUUGAAACUUAGUACACAUGUUCCCUAUGAUAUGAUCUUUCUAAUUUUAAUGUCAAAUUAAAGUAUUGACCCCAAUUUCAUG